GACUAGAAGCGAUACCCAGAUCAUGGAUUCCCCCGCCACUUUUACAGAACACGAAUAAUCUCCUUAAAACCUAUUUCUUGGAGAAUGGCAAGAAAAUGGCAGAAUCAAGUGGGAUUCUUGUCAAUACAUUUGAGAGUAUUGAGCACGAACCACUCAGAAAGCUAAAUGAAGGAAAAGUAAUAGAAGGGUUGCCACCAGUUAUUGCCAUUGGACCACUUGCACCUUGUGAAUUUGAAAAGAUCCAACCAUUACCAUGGCUUGAUGAACAACCGGCGGGGUCUGUGGUGUAUGUCAGCUUUGGUAGUAGGACUGCUAUGUCAAGAGAGCAACUCAAAGAGUUGGGUGAAGGGCUGGCAAUUAGUGGUCAUAGGUUUCUGUGGAUGGUAAAGGAUAAGAAAGUUGAUCGAGAGGAUGAAGAAGACUUAGGUCAGGUAAUUGGAAGUGGGUUAAUGGAGAAGUUGAAGGAAAAAGGGUUGGUGGUGAAGUACUGGCUAAACCAAGAGGCGAUACUAAGCCACCCAGCAGUUGGUGGAUUUUUGAGUCAUUGUGGUUGGAAUUCAAUAACAGAGGCUAUAUGGAAUGGAGUGCGCAUAUUAGCAUGGCCCCAACAUGGAGACCAGAAAAUCAAUGCUGAUAUUGCGGAGAAAAUUGGAUUAGGGACUUGGGAGAAGAGUUGGGGAUGGGGUGAAGAGACGGCAGUGAACGGAACAGAUAUUGCAGAAAAAAUUAAGGAGAUGAUGGGUAAUGAAUUGUUGAGACAUCAAGCAAUGCACAUCAGAGAAGAGGCUAGGACAGCUGUGGAAAUUGGAGGCAGCUCAAGGAUGGGGCCGAUGGAACUCAUCGAGACAUGGAAGAAGACCUGAAUUCGCAACUUCGUGUUUUCCACUUUAUUUUUUUUCAAACAUAGUAUUUUCUGUUUUUUU
This 923-nucleotide unclassified non-coding RNA is filed under the name Hevea brasiliensis (rubber tree). The record is from RNAcentral. Lineage: Eukaryota; Viridiplantae; Streptophyta; Magnoliopsida; Malpighiales; Euphorbiaceae.